Molecule: ribosomal RNA, 461 nt
Filed under: uncultured fungus
Lineage: Eukaryota; Fungi
Description: eukaryotic LSU rRNA
Rfam family: 5.8S ribosomal RNA (bases 1-126)
Source: RNAcentral
GCAUCGAUGAAGAACGCAGCGAACUGCGAAACGUUAUGUGACCUGCACUCUUCGUGAAUCAUCCAAUCUUUGAACGCACUUUGCACCUCGUGGCUUCUGUCACAAGGUAUACUUGUUUGAGUAUUCGAUAGCCAUCUCUCCUCCCUUACGGGGCGAGGAGGACUUGAGGGCUCGUCACCGCAAGGGGACGUCUCUUUAAAUGGGAAGGGUCCACAUAGUGAGGGUCUCCGUCUGGCUUAGGCAGGACUAUUGGGAUAACAUCCUGACAAUCGUUUGCCUGAGCUCUUAAUUUGGACAUUGACAAACUCACUGGACCCAAACUAUCGGUCAGGAGGGGGAUGCACGCAAGUGUGUCUCUCUACUUGACCAUUCGUCGUCGGACAUGUGCCGAUGACGCGUGUGAUGAAUCUCAAAUCAAGUAAGGAUACCCGCUGAACUUAAGCAUAUCAAUAAGCGGAGGA